Molecule: ribosomal RNA, 492 nt
Filed under: uncultured bacterium
Lineage: Bacteria
Description: partial 16S ribosomal RNA
Rfam family: Bacterial small subunit ribosomal RNA
Source: RNAcentral
AGUGAACGCUGGCGGUAUGCCUAACACAUGCAAGUCGAACGGCAGCACAUUAAGAGCUUGCUCUUACGGGUGGCGAGUGGCGGACGGGUGAGGAAUACAUCGGAAUCUACUUUUUCGUGGGGGAUAACGUAGGGAAACUUACGCUAAUACCGCAUACGACCUACGGGUGAAAGCAGGGGAUCUUCGGACCUUGCGCUAUUGAAUGAGCCGAUGUCGGAUUAGUUAGUUGGCGGGGUAAAGGCCCACCAAGGCGACGAUCCGUAGCUGGUCUGAGAGGAUGGGCAGCCACACUGGAACUGAGACACGGUCCAGACUCCUACGGGAGGCAGCAGUGGGGAAUAUUGGACAAUGGGCGAAAGCCUGAUCCAGCCAUACCGCGUGGGUGAAGAAGGCCUUCGGGUUGUAAAGCCCUUUUGUUGGGAAAGAAAAGCAGCAGGUUAAUACCCCGCUGUUCUGACGGUACCCAAAGAAUAAGCACCGGCUAACUUCGUG